RNAcentral lists this small RNA (24 nucleotides) under Brassica napus (rape). RNAcentral describes it as "PsRNA_78". Lineage: Eukaryota; Viridiplantae; Streptophyta; Magnoliopsida; Brassicales; Brassicaceae. The record is from RNAcentral.
AUAGAGCAAAAUAUAGAGGAAUGC